CUUCGACCCAUGUAUCGAGACCUGACACUGUGAGCAAUCCAAGAUGUUGAAGGUCACCAUGUUACUGCUGAGUGUUGCAAUGCUCUUGCUUGGAUCUGUGAGCGGAAAAGCGCCUGGAAAGUCCGGACUCAUCGAUGACCUGGUCAAGAGACAAGGCAGCAUGAUGAAAGAUUUGACGGACAUUCACGAAGCAG
Long non-coding RNA from Haliotis rufescens (red abalone), 194 nucleotides. RefSeq lists it as uncharacterized. The transcript has 3 exons. The record is from RefSeq and is a predicted model, not a curated record. Lineage: Eukaryota; Metazoa; Mollusca; Gastropoda; Lepetellida; Haliotidae.